AACGAACGCUGGCGGCAUGCCUAACACAUGCAAGUCGAACGAGACCUUCGGGUCUAGUGGCGCACGGGUGCGUAACGCGUGGGAACCUGCCCUUAGGUUCGGAAUAACUCCCCGAAAGGGGUGCUAAUACCGGAUAAUGUCUUCGGACCAAAGAUUUAUCGCCUUUGGAUGGGCCCGCGUUGGAUUAGCUAGUUGGUAGGGUAAAAGCCUACCAAGGCGACGAUCCAUAGCUGGUCUGAGAGGAUGAUCAGCCACACUGGGACUGAGACACGGCCCAGAAUCCUACGGGAGGCAGCAGUGGGGAAUAGUGGACAAUGGGCGAAAGCCUGAUCCAGCAAUGCCGGGUGAGUGAUGAAGGCAUUAGGGUUGUAAAGCUCUUUUACCCGGGAUGAUAAUGACAGUACCGGGAGAAUAAGCUCCGGCUAACUACGUG
RNAcentral lists this ribosomal RNA (433 nucleotides) under uncultured bacterium. RNAcentral's name for it is "partial 16S ribosomal RNA". It matches the Rfam family "Bacterial small subunit ribosomal RNA", at positions 29 to 507 of the family's 1533-position model. The record is from RNAcentral.